AGGGUGCGAGCGUUAGUUCGGAAUCUACUGGGCGCGUAAAGCGCGUGUAGGCGGCCCUUUAAGUCCGAGUGAUGAAAGUCCCGGGGCCGUCACCCCCGGAAGUGCAUUGGAUACGUGAAGGGGGCUGGAGAUAAUCCGGAGAGGAGCGGGUGGAAUUCCUGGUGUAGCGGGUGAGGAGAAUGCGAUAGAUAUUACAGGAGGAACGCACCUGUGGCGAAGGCGGCCCUCGUGGAGGGAACGGAUACUGAUCGCUGAAGACGCGAGACAGCGUGGGGAGCAAACAGGAGAGAUUAGAUACCCUGGUUAGUCCACGCAUGUAAACCGAUGGGCACUAGGUGUAUCGGGGUAUUGACCCCUCCGAGUGCCGC
Molecule: ribosomal RNA, 368 nt
Filed under: uncultured bacterium
Lineage: Bacteria
Description: bacterial SSU rRNA
Rfam family: Bacterial small subunit ribosomal RNA
Source: RNAcentral